This 144-nucleotide small RNA is filed under the name Arabidopsis thaliana (thale cress). Its description in RNAcentral is "ATSL034110". Lineage: Eukaryota; Viridiplantae; Streptophyta; Magnoliopsida; Brassicales; Brassicaceae. The record is from RNAcentral.
CAGUUGCGAUUCUAGUUUUUAUACUUAAUCAUACACAUGACAUCUAGUCAUAUUUGACUCCAACAAUCUAACAAAGCUUCUUCUUGCUUCUCAAAGCUUUGAUUGUGUAGCCAAAGUCCGUAUGAGUCUUUGGGUUUCUAUCUA